GACGUAGGAGGCGAGCGUUGUCCGGAUUUACUGGGCGUAAAGGGCGUGUAGGCGGCAUAGCAAGUUGGCUGUGAAAUCCCUUGGCUUAACUGGGGGGGGUCGGUCAAAACUGCUAAGCUGGAGGCCGGUAGGGGGAGACGGAAUUCCCGGUGUAGUGGUGAAUGCGUAGAUAUCGGGAGGAACACCGAUGGCGAAAGCGGUCUCCUGGGCCGGUCCUGACGCUGAGGCGCGAAAGCGCGGGGAGC
This 245-nucleotide ribosomal RNA is filed under the name uncultured bacterium. RNAcentral describes it as "partial 16S ribosomal RNA". It matches the Rfam family "Bacterial small subunit ribosomal RNA", at positions 524 to 769 of the family's 1533-position model. The record is from RNAcentral.